CUUUUGUUGUCUGGUUUGGGGGAUAUGAGAUAAAUUUUCAUGGCAAAUAUUUCUUAAAGUUUCCUAGAAUUUUGCUGAUAAUUCUUCAAAGAGAUAGCAUCAACUUCCCGUUUAGAACCCAGAAUAUUCUUUUUCAUGCUAUCUUCUUUAAGUAUCCUUUAACUUCAAAACAGUAUCCUGUUCCCAUAGAAAAUUAGCCACCACAACAUUCAUACACAUUUGCAUAUAGGAAGAGGACUGUACAGUCAUCACAACUGCCAUGGUUGUAACACAUCUAAGCUGGAGUUCUAUGGGGUCCAGUCUCUGUCCAGGGUCAUAUUCAAAGGAGCCCAGAACAGCAACCCAGAGGAAUUAAAAGGAAAUGUCAGUCUCAUUAAAGAGUAUUCAGUGCAAUAACCCACAGCAGCACAUGUCAAAAGCCCCUUUCCUCUCCUAAAAUAUCCAGUUCUACACCUGCUCUGGUGUCUCUGUCUGCUUAUUUCUCUCCUACAUUCCUCUCCCUUUGUUACUCCCCACCCCCUGCUCUCAAAUCUGUGUUUCAAAAGCUUGGGAAAGCAGUUGGCAAGGACAGAAUUCUUUCCAUUUCUUUCCAUAAGUGAGAGAAGAGGAGAAAAAGAAAGAGAAUGUAAAGAGAAAGCAAACCUUUCCUUUCUUUUAAAGGAUUUGAUGGAAGAAAAUAUGGGGGAACUCAUGCAGGAACACAUUUGUCCUUGUCACUUAAGUGACUGUAUAUACAUUAGCUUAUUCAAUCCUCACGAUACGUAUAUGAGGUAAAUAAUGUUAUUACAAUUUCCGUUUUGUUGUCAGGGUAACUAGGACUUAGGAAGGUGAAGCCAUGUCCUCAGGUCACCCAGCUAGUGAACGAUGGGAUAAGGCCCUCGUUUUUAAGCAAUUUGCUGUGCUAUUGUAUGAGGUUUCCAGAGUUUCAUAAAACUCAAUAAUGGUGAUUUUCCAAUUAGAAUGUAUUUUCUCCCCUACGGCUCAUUUUUCUUCUCCAAGUCUAAACCCUGAGAAGUGCAUCUUUGCUUAAAAUGGAUCUUUAUCAGAUUACUUGUGCAUUACCAAGCUGCUGACUUCUUAGUUUUGGAAUCUGGACUCUACCAAAAAUUUGCUUUAGUUAUUCCAAAAAUUUAAAGCACAUUUUUACAGAAUGGUAGAACUAAUUCCUCUUGCAACUAUUUUUUUGUUGAUGCAGGUAAAUUGGAUAGAGUGGGUUUCUUUGAGCAGGUAAGAUUAGUAUGGAGGUGUCCUGGAGGGUGUAUCCACCAGCAUGAGAGUGUGCACAGAGGCUUUCAUAAUUCUUGUAUUGAUGUUGGAGUCUCAAGGGACAAAGGCAGGCUUGGAAGGAAGUAACAACGAUAAUAUCUUGCCAUGGUUAAUGAUAAGAAUAGUUAUAAUUUUCUUUUUUUCUUUUUAAUUAAAAAAUUAUUUUUUUUGGCCAUACCUGUAGCAUAUGGGAAUUCCUGGGCCAGGGACUGAAUCCAAGCCACAGCUGUGACCUACAUUGCAGCUGCAGCAACAAUGGAUCCUUUAACCUCCUGCACUGGAACCUGCCCCUCUGCAGUAACCUGAGCUGCUGCAGUUGGAUUCUUAACCCACUGAACCACCGUGGGAACUCCAGGAAAGUUAUAAUUUUUUAUUUAUUUUAUCUUAUUAUUUUUUGUCCUUUUGCCUUUUCUAGUGCCACUUCCCAUGGCCUACGGAGGUUCCCAGGCUAGGGGUCUAAUCAGAGCUGUAUCCACCAGCCUACACCACAGCCACAGCAACGCAGGAUCUGAGCCGAGCCACGUCUGCAACCUACACCACAGCUCAUGGCAAUACCAGAUCCUUAACCCACUGAGCAAGGCCAGGGAUUGAACUCGCAGCCCCAUGAUUCCUAGUCAGAUUCGUUAACCAUUGCAGCAUGAUGGGAACUCCAAGAAAAAUUAUAAUUUUUUAAAGGGAGGAAGUUAUAACUAAUCGCUGUUGUGAAGGAAGAAGAAACAUAACAGCUGUGGACAAUUAAACCAUGUCAAAGGGUUCUCUGCAGUAGGUACCACUACACUGAUUAUGUAAUAUGGGUUCUAUAACAUCAUAAAUCAGCAUAGUGUCACAGUUUCCUUGGUUUGUGACUUGGGGAAGUUCUGGGCAGAAGUGCGUGAGUGCAGAGGGCAGGGACAUAAAUAGGGGCUUGUUUCAAUCUGAGUCUCUCAGGACCCAGAUAUUCAUGAAGAAAUCGGCUUUGGAGAAUGCAGACAAUAUUAAACACUCACUAUCCCAAGCAGUCAUUUAUCUAACUUUACAACAAAAGUGAAGCAAAACACUCUUUGAAUGUAGGCCAGCAUGUUGAAAAAUAAUUUUUGGGAGGGUAAGUUCGAGGAUAUCUUCACAUCCGGGAAGGUAGAGAGCUCUUCUCUUGAUGCUUCUAUAAGCCAGAGGUUCUUGAGUAUAAAAAAAAUGUUCUAUACUCUGUACACAUUCAUUCCGAUCAAUCAGUACCUUUCUACUUUAAAAAUGCAAAAGGGGACCUCCCAUUGUGGCUCAGCGGAAAUGCAUCUGACUAGCAUCCAUGAGGUCACAGGUUCGAUCCCUGGCAUCGGUCAGUGGGUUAAGGAUCCGGUGUUGCCCUGAGCUGUGGUGUAGGUUGCAGAUGUGGCUCGGAUCUGGUGUUGCUGUGGCUCUGGUGUAGGCCAGCGGCUAUAGCUCUGAUUCCACCUCUAGCCUGGGAACCUCCAUAUGCUAUGGAUGUGGCCCUAAAAAAGACAAAAAAAAAAAUGCAAAAUGAUAAGACCAUGUGUACUUUGGUUCUAGCUGUGUCUGAAAUUAGGUACAUGGCAUUUUUGGUCAUCUGUCAGUUCUUUAUAGUUGACAUUUAAGCUGAGAAAGACACGGGAAAGGGAACAAAUAUCUGGGUGCCUUCUGUGUUCAAGUCCUGUGUGGUUGUAUUUUGUACAUGAUCUCAUUCAUCUUCAUGGAGACACAGGAAGUAGGAAAUACUGUUCCCAUUUCUCAGAUGAAGGAAUUUGAGGGAUGGUGUAUCUCAUGCAAGCUCACACAGAUAGUGGAGGGGCAGACAGGGGAUUUGAACCCUGUGGUGCUACCCUAAACUGUGAUGUUCCACAGGAUGAAGUCUGCAUAUCCACCUUAGGAUGAUGUUCAUAUAUGAAGUGUUAAAUACUUAUUAAACAUUCACAGCAUAUCUUGAAGGGGAAUGAUUGAAUUCAGUCAAACAUUAAAAUUUGUUUCUAUCUCCAUGGUAUUUUAAUUUGACCAGUUAUUUAUUUUGGUUGUUGUUGUUUCAAUGUUUAUUUAUUUUUAAUUGAUGUAUAUUUGACAUACAACAUUAUAUUAAUUUCAGGCAUACAACAUGAUUUAAUGUUUGUAUAUAUGGCAAAAUGAUCACCACAAUAAGUCUAGUUAAUAUCCAUCAUCACACAUGGCUGCAAAUUUUUUUCUUGGGAUUUGGACUUUUAAGAUCUAUUCUCCUUGCAACUUUUGAACAUGCAAUAUAGUAUCAUUAACUGCAGUCAUCAUAUUGUACAUGACAUCCCCAUGACUUAGUUAUUUUAUAACUGGAAGUUUAUACCUUUUGACUCCCUUCACUCAUUCUGGCCCCCCAGCACCCCCCAGGCAGCAACCACCAAUCUGUUCUCUGUAUCUAUGUGCUUAUUAUUUGCUUUUUGUUUGCUUUAUAAUAGCAAUACUGUACUUUUUGAUGCUAUUGCAUUGUAUUAUAAUUUGAAGUCAGGGAGUGUGGUGCCUUCAGCUUUGUUCCUCUUUCUUAUGAUUGCUCUGGCUAUUCAGGGUCUUUUGUGGUUCUAUACAAAAUUUAGAAUUGUUUGUUAUAUUUAUGGGAAAAUGCCAUUGGGAUUUUGUUGGGGAUUGCAUUCAGUCUACAGGGAUUUCUUUGCAUAGCAUGGACAUUUUAACAGUAUGAAUUCUUCUGAUCUAUGAGCAUGGAAAUUCUUUCCCUUUAUUUGUGUCAUCUUCAAUUUCUAUCCUCAGUGUCUUACAGUUUUCAGAGUAUGGGUCUUUCACCUCCUAGGUUAAAUUUAUUCCUAGGAAUUUAUUCUUUUUGAUGCAAUUAUAAAUUGGACUGUUUUCUUAAUUUCUCUUUCUGAUAGUUUGCUAUUAGUAUAUAAAUGCAACAUCAGUAUAUUGCCUUUACAUCUUGCGACUUUACUGACUUCUUGUAUUAAUUCUAACAGGUUUUUUUUUUUUGUGUGUGUGUGGAGUCUUUAGGGUUUUCCAUAUAUAGAAUCAUUUCAUCUGCAAACAAUGUAAAACAUCCAAUUAGGCUGUCUUUUAUUUCUUUUCCUCUCCAAUUGCUCUGGCUAGGACUUCUAAUGCUAUGUUGAAUAAAAGAGGCAAAAGUAGGCAUCCUUGUCUUACUCCUGAUCUUAGAGGAAAAGCCUUCAGGUUCUCUCCAGUGAGUAUGUUAGCUAUGGACUUGUCAUAUAUUGUCUUUAUUAUGUUGAAGUACUUUCCCUCCAAUUGGAUUGAAGCAGGAAAAAAUACAAGAUGAGAGAAGAACAUGUUGUGGUGCAGAAAGUAAGUAAUUUAUUAGAAAAAACAACAAAAACACAAAGCUACCCUGAUGGGGGUUUGUCAGAGGAGGCAGACACCAACUGAAAGAACUCCCAGUGACCCCUGGAAAAAUUUGAGCAACAAAAUGAAUAAAGUAAAAUUGAAUUCUAAUGCAACAUAUAGUGUUAAUAUCUAUGAGUCCUUACUGAAUUAUAUUAAUGCUUGAAUUAAUAACUAAAUGGGAGAAGAGACAAUUCUCCCAGAUAAAAUUACCAAAUAAUUUAUGUACAUAGGUCUCUCUCAAGGAGAAUAGAACUCUCUACUCCUUGAGUGUGGGCUAUGCAUAGAGACUUUUUCCCAAAGUAGUACG
Molecule: long non-coding RNA, 4876 nt
Filed under: Sus scrofa (pig)
Lineage: Eukaryota; Metazoa; Chordata; Mammalia; Artiodactyla; Suidae
Description: lncRNA (ENSSSCG00000062184.1)
Source: RNAcentral